GCGUGAAGCUACAGCCGCCAAACCCACACUUGGCUCCUCAACCUCACAUUAUCUUGCAACCUAUGACUUAAAGGGAUCACUUUCCCUUCCACAUACUUCUAUGCAGCUUUCUCUUGUCAGUGUUGCCGCUGACACCAACUGUAUGACCACAACUCCUAAAUCACAGGUUACAAAGCUCUUCGCCAUCCACCAGUGACCUUGAUCUUCACACCACUCCUGUGAGGUAGACCAGGUGCCUAUUGCCUUCUAUUUUUACAGAUCUAAGAAAUAAGGCUCAGCGAGAUGACGGGACUUAGAACCAUCUCAUUGAUUGGUCUAGCGCCUGGCCCCUCCAUCCCAGUAUCAUGCUUUCUCUGCAUCUUAUGAUCACUGUCGUUGCCUCCAGUGCCCAGGGCCAACUGGAAAGGUAAGGGAAACUGAGGUACAGAGAGGGGAAGAGCCAUGAUUGACUCCCUGCAACUCAUCUGGGAGGGCACCCAGAUUUACAUUCGGAUCUGUUUCACUACAAAGCGGUGCCCUUGACUUAACACUCCAUCACUUUCCAUACAAGCUUCAAACUGAACUCCACCUUCAUUAGCUUGGUGAGCGCAGACCACCGAACACUUCUAACAUCUCUCUUAGAGGUUAUGUGUUGGCUCCUGCGUUCAGAACUAUCCUAAAAGUAACUGAAACAAGGGGCUUUUGACUCCAUGGAUAAACAGUUCCUGGGGAGUAGACCUUGAUUCUAGCCAUUACUUAGAAAACAAAUCAAAUUCGUAGUCAGACUAGUGAUGUUGUUGGAACUUUUCAAACAUGAAGACUCAUGUAUGGACAUAUAUGCUUGGGACCAAAAGCACUCUCCUUUUCCAAACAGCAACCUACACUUGACCUUUUGAGAGGCUGAGCUGUUGCUGAGGACUGUUUAGAUGGAAGAUUUGAUUGUUGGUUAUGAAGGCACCGAGGAAGAGACAGGAUGGUGUCCCAGGAUGGAAGGAAGGCUCUGGACAUCAGAACUUUGGGCCACUGUACUGCUGUGUAAAUUUGCAAAACCUACUUAAUCCUUAUGGCCUAUUUCCUCAUCUGGAAAAUGAGUUAAAUGAGAUCCACUUUAUAGAAUUGUUGUAAUGAUUAUAUAAGUAAACACAUAGUAAUGUUAUUUGAUUUUAUUAUUAUUAUUAUUAUAAUUUGUCACUCUAAGCAUUUAGCUUUGGUGUCUCCAAUAUUCAGUACUCACAUUCAUGUUCAAAUUUGGAUGCUAGGUAGAAAUGAAGACUUUGUAUCUGCCACCAGAGAAGGCUAUUUAUUGUUUGUCAUUGCCUGUCACAAACUCACAAAGAUAGUAUUUGUCUAUCCAAAGGUACCUAAUUCCUCAGUUUCUUAUGUGACUAUAAAGGGGCCUACUUUGAUCUUACCAUGAACACAAAUCCUUUUGAAAUUUCAAUUUGUCAGUUUUGAUAUUUGCUCCUCUCUCUUUUCUGCUCCUCUUAUCCAGGAAAGGAGGCACAUUGUAGUUUUUGACUUAAUAAUGGGACCUAUGUUAAUAGUAAAGAAAGUUCAGAAGCCAAGAGAAAACCCGUGAAAUGAUAAAAAAGGUAGAUGGAUAUAUUUUUUAAAAAUGUUUUGUCAAACACCUUUGAAUUGGCACCAUUGAGAAUACCUUUCAACAUGUGGGUUUAAGAAAACAUUUUGCUUUAUAAAGCCUCAGAGAAAAUCUUGUGAUAAAAUUAGUCAGAGUUGCAUAGAAAUGGAUUAAAGAAGGAACCAAAGGAUUUAACUCAUCAGCAAGAGCAGAUAAAACCAGGUGCUCGACCUGGAAUUCCCACAGGGUCAGGCCUCUGGAAUUCCCACAGGGUCAGGCCUCUGGGUUUCCCACAGGGUCAGGGCUCUCCUCAGUGUUUUUUCACUGCUGGUUCCACAGAUAAGAGGAGAUGGGUGGAGAGAUAUGUUGUCCUGUACCGCUCACUUGCACAAGCAGACCACAGUUGGGAGGAGGUCCACUAGUAUUUGAGGAAAACCAUUUAGAAGUGGACAUCUUAGGUUGGGAAUUAUUGAAAAGCAUUAGCCCAUUAGCUGUGAGAGAGAUGAAAGAUCAUGAAUCAGAGCGAUAUUAGAGUUUUCCUUUAUCUGGAGCUGGAUAGCCCUAAAAUGGCCAGGGAGGUGGCGUAGAUGGCCACAGUGGAUAGUGCAUUGUGAGGCUUCCAGCUGGCUGGAGUUGUCCAAGGAAGAUGGACCCAUCACGGGCAUGGGCUUCCCAAAAGGCUUGUCAUGGUCCAAAUGCUUCUCAGUUAUUGGAAAAACAUGGUGUUCAAGGGCUGGGCUAUCAUUUGGAUCUUUCCUUGAGAUCACUAACCCUGUAAUGAAGAAGCACCUUGUCACUGGAUACAAUGUUGGUUCCUGGCUGCUGGGGACAUUCUAACUCUGGUGGAGAGCUAACAACAAAAUGAAUCACCUUACAUUUGCCUGCUGUGCCUUUCGCUUAAGGCUCUGUCUCUAUCACAGGGUGUCUAUGGACAGUAGUUGGCUCCCAAUGUAAUAGGCUGGCUUCAAGGAGCUAACUCUCCAUUCCUCUGUGUUACAGAAUACAUGCAGACCAAAGGAAGAUGCUUAUCUGCCUGUCUGGUCCAUCCAGAGUCAUCACCUUCAAAUACACUCUAACCCCUGGAGCCCUGUCUAAGCUCACACAAAGCCCAUUUGGUGAUCUCUUUGCAUGGAUGCGUGAAACAGUCCUCAAGGAAUAAUCUCACCCUAGUAGGCUACAGAGAAACCAUACACACAUACCCCAAACAGUGCAGAAAGUGCAAUAAAUCUUACAAUCAAAUAAAAACUAAGUGUUAUGAGAGCAGAGAUGAAGAAAUGAGGAAUUCUGAUGAAGAAAAAGGCAGUCAGAAAUUGAGAAAACCUUCUUAGGGGAGCUAGCAAUUGAGCUGUGCCUUGAAGAACACAUAUCUAGAUGGGCAGAGACAAUGAGAGAGCUGGGAAAGGGGAAGGAUUCCAGGAGGAGGGAACAGUGAACAAAGAGCUGUAGGCAGGACCCAGGAGUCAAGGCUGGAAUGUGUGCGGAGUGGAAAGGGAAAGUAGGGGGAGGCAUCAAAGGUGUGUUGAAUAGCCUUUAAGUUUUCAACAAAUGACAAUUAUUGUACAAAGCACAGGCUUAGCCACUGAGAAAGGAGGGAGGGUUACAAAAUGCCCACAUAUCUUAAGUCUUUUGUUCUCCCUGGGGAGAACCUUGGGGCUGUUUUGGGACCAUCAGUGGCCAUGAGUUUUCCAUUGCUUAAGUUCUCUCUGACCAUCUCUCUUGCUCCUGUCUUUGUUUGUUGAACCCUGAUGUUGUGAACCAUCUGACCCUUUCUAGUCCCCAAUUCUUGCCUAGUUUUUGUUGACUCUGACUGACUUGUACAGCAUCUAGUUCUCUGCCUAUAAAUAUAAGGUGACCUAAUCCUUCGAUGCUCUGGCCGGCCCUGAGUGGAGUUCGUCUUCAUGUGAAUACAGACAUCUUUCGCCUUGGUAGUUCUGGCUUCUGCUGAAUGUUUUCUCCCUCCAGGCACUCACUUUGUUGUUAUGUAGGCACACAGUUUCAACCCUGGGACUGCUUGGAGUGUUACAGAUGCAUCAGGAAAAAAAAAAAAAAAAA
Long non-coding RNA from Cercocebus atys (sooty mangabey), 3610 nucleotides. RefSeq lists it as uncharacterized. The record is from RefSeq and is a predicted model, not a curated record. NCBI's taxonomy places the organism in Eukaryota, Metazoa, Chordata, Mammalia, Primates, Cercopithecidae. The transcript has 3 exons.